This is a non-coding RNA of Sarcophilus harrisii (Tasmanian devil), 619 nucleotides long. The record is from the annotation of a RefSeq genome assembly. NCBI's taxonomy places the organism in Eukaryota, Metazoa, Chordata, Mammalia, Dasyuromorphia, Dasyuridae.
CCUGUCUUCAUCCAGGUGCCCAGUCUAAGACUGAUACUACUGCUAUUGCAGUGACUACUGAGAAGGAUUAAAAGCCAGAAAGCAACCAGAUUUUAUGAAAUAGGGCCACUUGCAUAUGGUCCCUUGUCCUACAAUAACCUGGAGCCCUAGAGAACCAGUGUCUUUUUUUCAUCCAGAAUCCAGUUUCUCUGGAUUCAGAAUUUCUGAGUGACACUUUUCCCACCUCUGGGUAUUGCAGGAGCCUUAGCUUCCUUGCUGCUCAGCCAUGAUGUUCUUCUUUGCCCUAGUGACUUUGAUGCUCUUCUCAAUGAGGGGAACAAGAGCACAAACAGUGACCCAACCCGAAGCUCAGGUCACCACGUUGGAAGGGGACCCCCUGGAGUUGAGGUGCAAUGCCUCCUAUACUGGAAGUCCUACUUUCUUCUGGUAUGUUCAAUAUCCCAAAAGAAAUCUCCAGAGGCUCCUGAAAUAUCUCUCAGGAAACAGGCUGGUUAGAGGCGGCAAAGGUUUUGAAGCAGAAUUUAACAAGAGCAAUAAAUCCUUCAACCUAAGGAAACAGUCUGCCGAAGUGAGCGAUGUGGCUGUAUACUUCUGUGCUGUGAGUGACACAGUGACGUGA